UACGGAGGGGGCGAGUGUUGUUCGGAAUUACUGGGCGUAAAGGGCGCGCAGGCGGCCUGGCAAGUCGAGUGUGAAAUCCCUUGGCUUAACUGAGGAAUGGCGCUCGAAACUACCUCGCUGGUGGGCGGGAGAGGGAAGUGGAACUCUCGGUGUAGGGGUGAAAUCUGUAGAUAUCGAGAGGAACACCGGUGGCGAAGGCGGCUUCCUGGCCCGUACCUGACGCUGAGGCGCGAAAGCCAGGGGAGCGAACGGG
This 253-nucleotide ribosomal RNA is filed under the name uncultured bacterium. Its description in RNAcentral is "partial 16S ribosomal RNA". It matches the Rfam family "Bacterial small subunit ribosomal RNA", at positions 524 to 776 of the family's 1533-position model. The record is from RNAcentral.